UUUUUAUGGAGAGUUUGAUCCUGGCUCAGGAUGAACGCUGGCGGCGUGCCUAAUACAUGCAAGUCGAGCGAACAGACGAGGAGCUUGCUCCUCUGACGUUAGCGGCGGACGGGUGAGUAACACGUGGAUAACCUACCUAUAAGACUGGGAUAACUUCGGGAAACCGGAGCUAAUACCGGAUAAUAUAUUGAACC
This 194-nucleotide ribosomal RNA is filed under the name Staphylococcus epidermidis NIH05003. Its description in RNAcentral is "partial 16S ribosomal RNA". It matches the Rfam family "Bacterial small subunit ribosomal RNA", at positions 1 to 187 of the family's 1533-position model. Lineage: Bacteria; Bacillati; Bacillota; Bacilli; Caryophanales; Staphylococcaceae. The record is from RNAcentral.